UCCUGGCUCAGAAUGAACGCUGGCGGCAUGCCUAACACAUGCAAGUCGAACGAAGCCUUCGGGCUUAGUGGCGCACGGGUGCGUAACGCGUGGGAAUCUGCCCUUGGGUUCGGAAUAACAGUUAGAAAUGACUGCUAAUACCGAAUGAUGACGUAAGUCCAAAGAUUUAUCGCCCAGGGAUGAGCCCGCGUAGGAUUAGCUAGUUGGUGUGGUAAAGGCGCACCAAGGCGACGAUCCUUAGCUGGUCUGAGAGGAUGAUCAGCCACACUGGGACUGAGACACGGCCCAGACUCCUACGGGAGGCAGCAGUGGGGAAUAUUGGACAAUGGGCGAAAGCCUGAUCCAGCAAUGCCGCGUGAGUGAUGAAGGCCUUAGGGUUGUAAAGCUCUUUUACCCGGGAUGAUA
RNAcentral lists this ribosomal RNA (405 nucleotides) under Sphingomonas sp. R-43106. RNAcentral describes it as "bacterial SSU rRNA". It matches the Rfam family "Bacterial small subunit ribosomal RNA", at positions 17 to 450 of the family's 1533-position model. Lineage: Bacteria; Pseudomonadati; Pseudomonadota; Alphaproteobacteria; Sphingomonadales; Sphingomonadaceae. The record is from RNAcentral.